AAAAGUUCAGCAGCAUCUCCUGUUUGAAUCACUUACGCGCAAUCUGUGAGCGCUGCCUGCACAUCAACCAGCAAGAUGAAUAAGCUGUCCGUCGCCUUGCUGUCAGCUCUGCUGCUGGCUUUUUGCAUCUCAUUCCAGAUGGUCCAGGCAGGCGUCAACAGCACCACCAUGAAAACCCCUGUCACAGCCAGCAGCACUGCCAGCCUGAGUGGAAUGACCACCACCGUCCCGCUACUCCUGCUCCCUUUGACCUUAGCGGUGGUCCUCCUCCACGACUGGUCCCGGUGUUGGGACUAACUCCACCCGUCCUGUCGACCCAGAUGGACAGAGGAUGCAAAAGUCUACCGCCUCAAGAUGAAGUUCCCUAAAGAACUUUUUUUUUUCAUCCGUUUUACCAAAACAGGACUCGCCCUUCUUUUCUCUGCACGUCCUGAUCCUUGCUGGGUGUUUAUAAAUGAAUCUUAUUCGGGAAGAACACUGAAUCUCUGUAGAAAUGUGUAUGGGUGUGGGAGAAAAUGUAUCUGUUAAGAAGAUUUUAAAAUGAAGUAGUUCUGAUCAACCUCAUUGCAAAUAUUUGUAUCUAUUUAAGUGCUGUGAAACUUGAGGUAAAUAAAGCUGUAAAAUGUC
Poecilia reticulata (guppy) is the source of this 627-nucleotide long non-coding RNA. RefSeq lists it as uncharacterized. NCBI's taxonomy places the organism in Eukaryota, Metazoa, Chordata, Actinopteri, Cyprinodontiformes, Poeciliidae. The record is from RefSeq and is a predicted model, not a curated record.